RNAcentral lists this small nucleolar RNA (134 nucleotides) under Canis lupus familiaris (dog). RNAcentral's name for it is "Small nucleolar RNA SNORA11 (ENSCAFG00845026367.1)". It matches the Rfam family "Small nucleolar RNA SNORA11". Rfam says of the family: U107 (SNORA11) is a member of the H/ACA class of snoRNAs that guide the sites of modification of uridines to pseudouridines. This snoRNA was identified by RT-PCR from blood cells and its expression confirmed by Northern blot analysis. Lineage: Eukaryota; Metazoa; Chordata; Mammalia; Carnivora; Canidae. The record is from Rfam by way of RNAcentral.
GAGGUGUGCUCAGAGCAGGGGACCGAAGAAAUGGCUCCUCUGUGUACGACACACCCAAUGGGAAUCUGUGUUUUCAGGGUGACAAGGGGCCAGAAACUGGUGGCCUACUACAAACAGGAGGAAAGCCUACACGU